AGACAUCCGUGGCACCCAAUAAACGGAUCUGGGCAUUUUUUUCAAAUACGAGAAAAUGAACGUUUGGUUCCCAGACCACGUCUCAUUGAGAAGUGGUGGCGCUAGCCAGGCUACCCUGUCAGUUUACUUCCUCUUUUAAUGCUCUUUAUUCUCUUGUUUAUUACCUGAUGAAUACUACACCCUAACCUUAUAUAGAACCUUAUAACACAUAUAAAAAUGUAUACAUUUUGUUUUGAGAGAGAUACAUAUAUUAAGUCAUAAAAUCAGUAGAUGUAUAUCAUUAGAUCUACAUUAUCAUGAACUACAUGUUUCAUGUAAUGUGUUCAUUCAUG
Long non-coding RNA from Alosa sapidissima (American shad), 332 nucleotides. RefSeq lists it as uncharacterized. The record is from RefSeq and is a predicted model, not a curated record. The transcript has 3 exons. Lineage: Eukaryota; Metazoa; Chordata; Actinopteri; Clupeiformes; Clupeidae.